CCUANGGGGGGCUGCAGUGAGGAAUAUUGCACAAUGGGCGAAAGCCUGAUGCAGCGACGCCGCGUGAGGGAUGAAGGUCUUCGGAUUGUAAACCUCUGUCAGUGGGGAAGAGUGAGGACGGUACCUACUGAGGAAGCCUCGGCUAACUACGUGCCAGCAGCCGCGGUAAGACGUAGGGGGCGAGCGUUGUCCGGAAUUACUGGGUGUAAAGAGCUCGUAGGCGGGAUCGUAAGUCUAGAGCAAAAUACCAUGGCUCAACUGUGGUGUGAUUUUGGAAACUGCGAUUCUUGAGGACUGGAGAGGAAAGUGGAAUUCCCGGUGUAGCGGUGGAAUGCGUAGAUAUCGGGAGGAACACCAGUGGCGAAGGCGACUUUCUGGCCAGUUCCUGACGCUGAGGAGCGAAAGCUGGGGGAGCAAACGGGAUUAGAUACCCCUNUANUC
Molecule: ribosomal RNA, 441 nt
Filed under: uncultured bacterium
Lineage: Bacteria
Description: bacterial SSU rRNA
Rfam family: Bacterial small subunit ribosomal RNA
Source: RNAcentral